GAGUUUGAUCUUGGCUCAGAUUGAACGCUGGCGGCAGGCCUAACACAUGCAAGUCGAACGGUAACAGGAAGAAGCUUGCUUCUUUGCUGACGAGUGGCGGACGGGUGAGUAAUGUCUGGGAAACUGCCUGAUGGAGGGGGAUAACUACUGGAAACGGUAGCUAAUACCGCAUAACGUCGCAAGACCAAAGAGGGGGACCUUCGGGCCUCUUGCCAUCGGAUGUGCCCAGAUGGGAUUAGCUAGUAGGCGGGGUAACGGCUCACUUAGGCGACGAUCCCUAGCUGGUCUGAGAGGAUGACCAGCCACACUGGAACUGAGACACGGUCCAGACUCCUACGGGAGGCAGCAGUGGGAAUAUUGCACAAUGGGCGCAAGCCUGAUGCAGCCAUGCCGCGUGUAUGAAGAAGGCCUUCGGUAGUAAAGUACGUUUCUAGCGGGGAGGAAGGGGAGUAAAGG
RNAcentral lists this ribosomal RNA (456 nucleotides) under uncultured bacterium. RNAcentral's name for it is "bacterial SSU rRNA". It matches the Rfam family "Bacterial small subunit ribosomal RNA", at positions 9 to 461 of the family's 1533-position model. The record is from RNAcentral.